Molecule: long non-coding RNA, 804 nt
Organism: Magallana angulata
Lineage: Eukaryota; Metazoa; Mollusca; Bivalvia; Ostreida; Ostreidae
Exons: 2
Source: RefSeq, a predicted model, not a curated record
UUUACUGGUGUUUAUCUUGAUUCUCAUCAAUUAAUAAACAUAUAGACGGCGACAACUUCAGCUGUCAAAUAUAGGUCGAUAUGGAUAGAUAGGCGGUGAAUUAAUGGAGCCCCGAAACAUUUCUACACAGGUUAAUUAUUCAUUGCGGCCGCACGUUUAUUGAUUAAACACAUUUGGGCAUCUAUCAAAAAAGAAAGAAGAAGAAGAAAAAAAUAACUCGACCGAGAUGCCAGGUUUGUGAUUCACUUCUCCGAACAUCUUGAUAACACGAGAGGACAGCACAGUGAAACCCAUCUACACGUAUAUUGAUUGAAGGGUCGCAAGAGAAAGGUAGUGCAACAUCAUCACAGAUGGAGUAUGGGGACUAGGUACUCCCUGGAGAACAUCCUCGUCAUCUGUGCCAUUGUAGGACUGUGCCUUCUAAUUAUUGCUAUUGUGACUCUGAUCAGCAUUUUCACAUCCAGGUGGCGCUAUACAAUGUCACGUGAACACGACCUGGAGGAUUCCAGAUAUGACAACACCAUCAUAUCUAGUUACGAAGGGGACAGUUCCAUGUGGACUACUGAAGGCACUUUCCGGACACUAGAAGAAAUCUGAGUUAUCAGAUACGUGUUUCCUUGUCUGACGUCUAACAGUUGUAUCGUGUAAAACUCAUUCUAUCUGUAUGAUACAUUAUAUACUCAUCAUGAAUUGAAAAUUAUCACCAUUUACAGGAUUUGGAUGACAUCUCUUCAAGAGGGAAGCCAAUAUAAGAAAUUUAAAUAUCUGAUAGAAAUAUAAUUGUUAAUAAAUAUUAAAACUGAA